AGAAACUGAAGAUCAAUGACUUAGACCCACUAGGUAACUGAAGUUGCAAAGGAAACAGCCAACCUGAAAUCUGAAAAGACCCAUAGAUACAGAAAAUCACAGCCAAGAUCUGCAUACUUGAAGAUCUGCAUACUUAGAGAAUAACUGCUGAAGUUAAUACUGGCACAUAUUAAGCCUAGAAUGUGCUAGCCAAUGUGGUACUGGACUGACGUGGCUCAUGGAUCUCAUGGUGGGAACUACAUAGAGUGGACUUAUGAGAAAAGCCAGCUGGGGCUCCAGGAGCAUCACGGAGCAAAGAGAGCUUUUCAGGCCUCAUUUUCACUAUAGGACCAGUGAAUAACUCUGGAUGGCAGAUAAAUCAUAGGGUGGAGAGAAAGGAGUAGAAGGCUUCAAUGAUGAUACCCUGUUUCCGUCAAUGACAGAUCAUUAUCGUUCUGGGGAAUCCACCUGCCAUGGUGAGUAGCACUACAAGAGAGGCCCAUGCAGCAAAGAAUUGAAACCUCUAAACAAUAGCCAUCAAAGACUUGGAACCAACUCAAAUGUCCAUCAAUGAUAGACUGGAUUAAGAAAAUGUGGCACAUAUACACCAUGGAAUACUAUGCAGCCAUAAAAAAGGAUGAGUUCAUGUCCUUUGUAGGGACAUGGAUGAAGCUGGAAACCAUCAUUCUCAGCAAACUAUCACAAGAACAAAAAACCAAACACCACAUGUUUUCACUUACAGGUGGGAACUGAACAAUGAGAACACUUGGACACAGGAAGGGGAACAUCACACACUGGGGCCUGUUGUGGGGUGGGGGGGAGGAAGGAGGGAAAGCAUUAGGAGAUAUACCUAAUGUAAAUGAGUUAAUGGGUGCAGCACACCAACAUGGCACAUGUAUACAUAUGUAACAAACCUGCACGUUCUGCACAUGUACCCUAGAACUUAAAGUAUAAUUAAAAAAAAAAAAAGCAGCAGCAUAUGAUGGG
Molecule: long non-coding RNA, 966 nt
Filed under: Homo sapiens (human)
Lineage: Eukaryota; Metazoa; Chordata; Mammalia; Primates; Hominidae
Description: HSALNT0315465
Source: RNAcentral